Molecule: long non-coding RNA, 1784 nt
Organism: Cygnus olor (mute swan)
Lineage: Eukaryota; Metazoa; Chordata; Aves; Anseriformes; Anatidae
Exons: 3
Source: RefSeq, a predicted model, not a curated record
AAAGCUGAGGGCUGGAAAAAAUAAAGGAGCAGUGAGGAAAUUGCUCAAUUCUCUGUUCUGAUGCUGCUUGCAGGGUACUAUGAGGUCAUUACAGGUUGAUAGCUGGUAUGGUGUAACAAAUGCAAUGGAAACCAACAGGAGCAAGAGCCUUUUGGAAACAGUCAAGAAAUUUUUGUCUGAAAAGUGCCAAAUUUUGUGAGGUUCUUCUGCAUAAACCACCAGUGAACAAGGUCUGCUUCCUGGUGAGGCCCUUCCUGGGGAGCAAGCAGGCAGCAGCAUGCAGUCUAUUCCAGCAAGCAAGUCCUGUUCUCAAUCUGAUGAGAAGGCUUCAAUCACUACUUUCUGUUGACUGUUUUGUAAAAUAAAGCAUCGUAACUGAUGCAUCACAACUGCAUAAAAGAGACCGUGAUACAGACUGGCACAGACAGAAUAUCAACUUCGUCUCCAUCAGCCAUGAAAGUUGGUUCAUGAAGAGAUUCCAUUGGCAUUGAAACGAACUGCAAGUUUGCAUGAUGAUCUCUAGGAAUUGUACAGUGCGAUGAGGUACAAAUUCACAGUCAAGGAAUUUUUGUGCUACUUCAUACAUUUGUAAUGCAAACCAUUACCACCCUGAUUUCCACAACACGAAGUAAAACUCCAGCAGUUUUAAUGAAUGAAUCCAUCGCAGUUUCUUUCAAAACAUUUUUUACAAUGAUAAUAAAUCCUAGAAUUGCCAUUGCUGUUAUCACGAAAAUUAAAAUGAACAGGAAAUUAAAAUGAAAGCCCCAGACCAAUCAAUAAACUAAUAAAUUUGAGGCAAAACUUUGAAAAUGGUAAGUAAACUGCUGCUGUUUUACUUCAAUUCAUGGACUCAGACAUAAUACCAUGGUACAGCUUGCUCAGUGCCAGCUCUUUUCUUGGAGCAAUUCAAUUCAAGAUGAUCACAGCAUGAGAUCAUACUUUUGUCUUCUUGGGUAUGGAUUGGAGGUGAGAGAAAAUUCAGUUUUGCCAAGGUAAAUUAAGUUUCUCUCCUUAUUGCUGUGUUUGCCUAGACAAGUAAUAGGAUUUGCAUUUUGUUAAUUGUUUACAGAUGAGAGGUAUAAAAAGAUUUUAAUUUAGCAAAGAAUCUAAUUUUGGGUGGAACUUAUCCUGUCUGUUAUUGAGAUUAAUCUGAAGUUUUACAAUAUUUUUAAGGAUUAGCUCUGAGUUGGGAGAAAGAACUGCUCUUUAAACAGCAUCAUGGUGGUAGGAAGACAAAGCUAAAUUAUUCUGGGGUGAGCCUGAGCUCCCCUUGCCACCAAGGCUGCCCACAAGUUAUGCAAAGAUGCACUGACUGUGGCUGGUGCAGUAAGGCUACUGGGACAAUAAAGGGCUGUGCUCUAGGAAUUAUUUGCAUAUUGGCUGCAAAUUCCUCUGGCUCAGCUGCCUGCAAUACGUCAUGCAUGAAAGUAUUUUACACCGCAGUAUGGAAGGAAAUACGUGCACCUCGCACUACAGCCUUCAGUGCUAUCUUCUGGGGGAAAAAAUGGGCAUUUGCCAAUGUAGGAAAAUAUAUAAUAGGAAAAAAAACGUAGGGGAAGAAGAAAAAAAGGCAGCAGCAACAAACAAAAUCAUAACCACUUCUUAAAAAUAUUCUAAACGUAAUAAAGGAUGGGCUCUAAGAGUAUGUAUUUUGAGGCAGAAGCAAAAAUCUGUGCAAGUAAUUUUUUUAGUUCCUGAAUCACCUGGCAUCUGAAAAUAUCCAAUAGGAAACUGGGGAUACCUGCAAAAGGUGAUAGAUUUCACAUACACAACCCUUGCUUUCA